GUACCCCCGGGAUUUAAGCAUAUUAGUAAGCAGAGGAACCCCAUCAAACUUGGAUUUUGUAAGUAGUUGCGAAUGAACACAAAUUUGAUCACUUUGGCAAUCUGUACACAUUGCUGUGUAACAAUUUGUAUACGUUGGCACAGUGCUAUCAAAGCUGCAUGCAAGUGUUUUUUGAAAGGAUACAACAUGGGAUGUGAUAUUCAUGUGUGUGUGCCUGCUUUGUCCACAGCCUGUGCUGUAUGAAUCACAUUUCUUGCAACUGAAAUGCUAAUGGCAUGGUAAAGUUCAUGUGACAUGACACAAGCUUGAGAUUCAUGAUGUGCAAGUACCAUGAGGGAAAUGUGAAAAGGACUUUGGAAAGAGAAUUAAAUAAAGCCUGCAUUUGCUGACAAUGAAAGCAAGUGUGGAUGUUCAUGUAAUUGUUACUGCAUCAAUCAAUGUUCAUCUUGGUUACUGCAUGCUUUAUAUUACAGCUCAGAACAUGAAGUGUGUGUAACAGCUCUGCUUUGAUUUUUCCCACAUGGGAUCAGUUGAAACAUUGUGAGAGCACUCUUCAGUUUCCUUAUGUACCCACCAGCUUUGUCCACUCGCGUGUUGGCACACAUGUAAUGAUGAUGUGUUUAUGCAAGAUACUUCUGUGCUCAACAACAUGUUGUGUCAAUCCUCACUUGACCCAACGAGAAGAGAGGAACAAGGACUA
Molecule: ribosomal RNA, 700 nt
Filed under: Ostreopsis ovata
Lineage: Eukaryota; Dinophyceae; Peridiniales; Ostreopsidaceae
Description: eukaryotic LSU rRNA
Rfam family: Eukaryotic large subunit ribosomal RNA
Source: RNAcentral